Non-coding RNA from Paragonimus kellicotti, 1978 nucleotides. The record is from the annotation of a GenBank genome assembly. NCBI's taxonomy places the organism in Eukaryota, Metazoa, Platyhelminthes, Trematoda, Plagiorchiida, Troglotrematidae.
AUCUGGUUGAUCCUGCCAGUAGUCAUAUGCUUGUCUCAGAGAUUAAGCCAUGCAUGUCUAAGUACAUACCUCAAAACGGUGAAACCGCGAAUGGCUCAUUAAAUCAGCUAUGGUUCCUUAGAUCGUACAUACUACAUGGAUAACUGUAGUAAUUCUAGAGCUAAUACAUGCCACUAUGCCCUGACCCGCGAGGGAACGGGUGGAUUUAUUAGAACAGAACCAACCGGUUGUGGCUUCGGCCGCUUCCGUUAUACUCUGUGAUGACUCUGGAUAACUUCACUGAUCGCGUCGGCCUUGUGUCGGCGACGGAUCUUUCAAAUGUCUGCCCUAUCAAUUUACGAUGGUAGGUGACCUGCCUACCAUGGUGAUAACGGGUAACGGGGAAUCAGGGUUCGAUUCCGGAGAGGGAGCCUGAGAAACGGCUACCACUUCCAAGGAAGGCAGCAGGCACGCAAAUUACCCAAUCCCGGCACGGGGAGGUAGUGACGAAAAAUACGAAUACGGGACUCAACAGAGGCUCCGUAAUUCGAAUGAGUACAAUUUAAAUCCUUUAACGAGGAUCAACUGGAGGGCAAGUCUGGUGCCAGCAGCCGCGGUAACUCCAGCUCCAGAAGCGUAUAUUAAAGUUGUUGCAGUUAAAAAGCUCGUAGUUGGAUCUGGGUCGCAUGGCUACGUGCCGUCGCUCACUUUCUCGGUUGGCUGUUAAGGCCCUGGGUUUGGUGGGUCGGUGUCGUGGUUGUGUGGUCUUUCUGCCGUGUCUGUUUUGCAGGUGCUGACUAGGCCUUCGGGUUUGUCGGCAUGCUUUCAGAUGCCUUUAAACGGGUGUCGGGGGCGGACGGCACGUUUACUUUGAACAAAUUUGAGUGCUCAAAGCAGGCCCUUGUGCCUGAAAAUUCUUGCAUGGAAUAAUGGAAUAGGACUUCGGUUCUAUUUUGUUGGUUUUCGGAUCCGAAGUAAUGGUUAAGAGGGACAGACGGGGGCAUUUGUAUGGCGGUGUUAGAGGUGAAAUUCUUGGAUCGCCGCCAGACAAACUACAGCGAAAGCAUUUGCCAAGGAUGUUUUCAUUGAUCUGGAGCGAAAGUCAGAGGUUCGAAGACGAUCAGAUACCGUCCUAGUUCUGACCAUAAACGAUGCCAACUGACGAUCCGCGGUGGUUCUUUUAUUGUCCCCGCGGGCAGUCCCCGGGAAACCUUUAAAGUCUUUGGGCUCCGGGGGAAGUAUGGUUGCAAAGCUGAAACUUAAAGGAAUUGACGGAAGGGCACCACCAGGAGUGGAGCCUGCGGCUUAAUUCGACUCAACACGGGAAAACUCACCCGGCCCGGACACUGUGAGGAUUGACAGAUUGAAAGCUCUUUCUUGAUUCGGUGGUUGGUGGUGCAUGGCCGUUCUUAGUUGGUGGAGCGAUUUGUCUGGUUAAUUCCGAUAACGAACGAGACUUUGGCCUGCUAAAUAGUAUGCCUGUCCUCUGUGCCCGUGCGGGUGGCGGUGCUCGCUGCCUCUUCGGGGGUGGUGGUGCCGUUCGCCGGCGGGUGCUGCGCAGGUGUUUACUUCUUAGAGGGACAAGCGGCGUGACAGUCGCACGAAAAUGAGCAAUAACAGGUCUGUGAUGCCCUUAGAUGUCCGGGGCCGCACGUGCGCUACAAUGACGGUUUCAGCGAGUCUGGGAACCUGGCCCGAAAGGGUUGGGCAAACUGAGUCAUCACCGUCGUGACUGGGAUCGGGGCUUGCAAUUGUUCCCCGUGAACGAGGAAUUCCUGGUAAGUGCAAGUCAUAAGCUUGCGCUGAUUACGUCCCUGCCCUUUGUACACACCGCCCGUCGCUACUACCGAUUGAAUGGUUUAGCAAGGUCCUCGGAUUGGCGCCAUUGUAGUUGUUUCGGCAGCUCGACCGGUGCUGAGAAGACGACCAAACUUGAUCAUUUAGAGGAAGUAAAAGUCGUAACAAGGUUUCCGUAGGUGAACCUGCGGAAGGAUCAUUA